AAAGCCUGUCUCAGUUCGGAUUGGAGGCUGAAACCCGCCUCCAUGAAGUUGGAUUCGCUAGUAAUCGCGCAUCAGCCAUGGCGCGGUGAAUACGUUCCCGGGCCUUGUACACACCGCCCGUCAAGCCAUGGGAGCCGGGGGUGCCUGAAGUUCGUGACCGCAAGGAGCGACCUAGGGCAAAACUGGUGACUGGGGCUAAGUCGUAACAAGGUACC
This 215-nucleotide ribosomal RNA is filed under the name uncultured bacterium. RNAcentral describes it as "partial 16S ribosomal RNA". It matches the Rfam family "Bacterial small subunit ribosomal RNA", at positions 1278 to 1500 of the family's 1533-position model. The record is from RNAcentral.